GAUGAACGCUGGCGGCGUGCCUAAUACAUGCAAGUCGAGCGAACAGACGAGGAGCUUGCUCCUUUGACGUUAGCGGCGGACGGGUGAGUAACACGUGGGUAACCUACCUAUAAGACUGGGAUAACUUCGGGAAACCGGAGCUAAUACCGGAUAAUAUUUCGAACCGCAUGGUUCGAUAGUGAAAGAUGGCUUUGCUAUCACUUAUAGAUGGACCUGCGCCGGAUUAGCUAGUUGGUAAGGUAACGGCUUACCAAGGCAACGAUACGUAGCCGACCUGAGAGGGUGAUCGGCCACACUGGAACUGAGACACGGUCCAGACUCCUACGGGAGGCAGCAGUAGGGAAUCUUCCGCAAUGGGCGAAAGCCUGACGGAGCAACGCCGCGUGAGUGAUGAAGGUCUUCGGAUCGUAAAACUCUGUUAUUAGGGAAGAACAAACGUGUAAGUAACUGUGCACGUCUUGACGGUACCUAAUCAGAAAGCCACGGCUAACUACGUG
RNAcentral lists this ribosomal RNA (497 nucleotides) under uncultured bacterium. RNAcentral's name for it is "partial 16S ribosomal RNA". It matches the Rfam family "Bacterial small subunit ribosomal RNA", at positions 28 to 507 of the family's 1533-position model. The record is from RNAcentral.